CACAGACAUGCCCAGAGGUGUGUCUCUUAGGUGAUCCUAGACCCUGUGGAGUUGGCCGUUAAAAUCCACCAUCACUGUGAGUAAAAGACAAAACACACACAGAUACAUAUCAUCAAACUACUACAACUUAAAGCUCUCGAAAGCCACUGGAGUAAAUGGUGUAUUCUGGAGCGUUCUUCCGUUUAGAGAGUUACUGUCUGAACGCACUUUUCAGGAGAAGACAGGGAAGCCACCAGAGCCCAGAAUAGAUCUGAAAGGGCUAACAGAAAGGUGGACUCAGAAUUUUAUACUUGGCAAGAAAACACCCUUCUAGAACCUUUGGAAAAUCGAUUCUCAGAUGAAGAAAGAUUGAAAGAACACAUCUCAGGGCUGGAGGGAUGGCUCAGUGGUUAAGAACAUUGGCUGUUCUUCCAAAGGACCAGGAUUCAAAUCCCAGCACCCACAUGACCGUUCAUAACUGUCUGUAAUUCCAGUUCAGGGGAUCUGACACCCAUACAAAUCCAUACUUGAAGGCAGAAUACUAAUGUAAAUAAAAAUUUAAAAACAUCAA
RNAcentral lists this long non-coding RNA (550 nucleotides) under Rattus norvegicus (Norway rat). Its description in RNAcentral is "long non-coding RNA NONRATT000995". The record is from RNAcentral. Lineage: Eukaryota; Metazoa; Chordata; Mammalia; Rodentia; Muridae.